UCCUACGGGUGGCUGCAGUCGAGAAUCUUUAGCAAUGGACGAAAGUCUGACUAUGCGACGCCGCGUGAGGGAUGAAGGUUUUCGGAUCGUAAACCUCUUUCGAAGGGAAAGAAAAUGUUCCGAAUAAUAUUCGGAAAACUGACGGUACCCUGAGAAGAAGCCACGGCCAACUCCGUGCCAGCAGCCGCGGUAAUACGGGGGUGGCAAGCGUUACUCGGAUUCAUUGGGUGUAAAGGGCAGGUAGGUGGUCUAAUAAGUAGAAGGUGAAAUCCCGUUGCUCAACAGCGGAACUGCCUUCUAAACUAUCGGGCUUGAAAUUGGGAGAGGAGAAUGGAAUUCCCGGUGUAAGGGUGAAAUCUGUAGAUAUCGGGAAGAACACCAGUGGCGAAAACGAUUCUCUAGUCCAAUUCUGACACUGAGCUGCGAAAGCUAGGGGAGCAAACAGGAUUAGAUACCCUGGUAGUCCUAGCUGUAAACGAUGAGCACUAGGUGUUGGUUCGUAUGAAUCGGCGCCGCAGUUAACACAUUAAGUGCUCCACCUGGGGACUACGGCCGCAAGGCUAAAACUCAAAGGAAUUGACGG
Molecule: ribosomal RNA, 583 nt
Filed under: uncultured bacterium
Lineage: Bacteria
Description: bacterial SSU rRNA
Rfam family: Bacterial small subunit ribosomal RNA
Source: RNAcentral